Cinara cedri is the source of this 242-nucleotide non-coding RNA. The record is from the annotation of a GenBank genome assembly. NCBI's taxonomy places the organism in Eukaryota, Metazoa, Arthropoda, Insecta, Hemiptera, Aphididae.
ACCGUGAUAAAUGUCGGUCUUAGUCACACAACCACCCAUUAUAAUAAAAUGGCACGGGCACUCUAGUAUGUUGAACAAACAAAACAAUUUUCAAAAUAUGAUAACUAGGUGUUAUAGGAUGUAGCCGGAUUAAAUACUCUGCGUGUCGCAAACAAAUAAGUCAGACGGGCUUAAUUUUAAAUGCGUAAAACAUUUUAGAGAUAAAAAUAAUUGUGGCACCUAUACCGAUACCUAUAUGUAGG